RNAcentral lists this transfer RNA (49 nucleotides) under Beta vulgaris subsp. vulgaris (sugar beet). It matches the Rfam family "tRNA", at positions 1 to 49 of the family's 71-position model. Rfam says of the family: Transfer RNA (tRNA) molecules are approximately 80 nucleotides in length. Their secondary structure includes four short double-helical elements and three loops (D, anti-codon, and T loops). Further hydrogen bonds mediate the characteristic L-shaped molecular structure. tRNAs have two regions of fundamental functional importance: the anti-codon, which is responsible for specific mRNA codon recognition, and the 3' end, to which the tRNAs corresponding amino acid is attached (by aminoacyl-tRNA synthetases). tRNAs cope with the degeneracy of the genetic code in two manners: having more than one tRNA (with a specific anti-codon) for a particular amino acid; and 'wobble' base-pairing, i.e. permitting non-standard base-pairing at the 3rd anti-codon position. The record is from Rfam by way of RNAcentral. Lineage: Eukaryota; Viridiplantae; Streptophyta; Magnoliopsida; Caryophyllales; Amaranthaceae.
GCGGGUAUAGCACAAUGGUAGUGCAGCAGCCUUCCAAGCUGAGGAUGUC